Long non-coding RNA from Cynara cardunculus var. scolymus (artichoke), 140 nucleotides. RefSeq lists it as uncharacterized. The transcript is spliced from 3 exons. Lineage: Eukaryota; Viridiplantae; Streptophyta; Magnoliopsida; Asterales; Asteraceae. The record is from RefSeq and is a predicted model, not a curated record.
UUAUUUGCAGAAGGAAACUUGGGAUUAACAAGCAUUUUGGUGGUUAAAUAUCAUCAUUCCAGUCCAGUUGAAGACUCUCUAUAUCAUUCCGGUCCAGAGAGCUUAUCCUGUCCGUCUGGUCUUCAAUUCAACCCAACAAG